Molecule: ribosomal RNA, 380 nt
Filed under: uncultured bacterium
Lineage: Bacteria
Description: bacterial SSU rRNA
Rfam family: Bacterial small subunit ribosomal RNA
Source: RNAcentral
ACCUAAUAGAUACCCUGGUAGUCCACGCCCUAAACGAUGCGAACUGGAUGUUGGGUACAUUACGGUACUCAGUGUCGAAAGCUAAACGCGUUAAGUUCGCCGCCUGGGGAGUACGGUCGCAAGACUGAAACUCAAAGGAAUUGACGGGGGCCCGCACAAGCGGUGGAGUAUGUGGUUUAAUUCGAUGCAACGCGAAGAACCUUACCUGGCCUUGACAUCUGUCGAAUCCUGCAGAGAUGCGGGAGUGCCGCAAGGAACGACAAGACAGGUGCUGCAUGGCUGUCGUCAGCCUCGUGUCGUGAGAUGUUAGGGUUAACGUCCCGACAACGAGCGACCUAACCCUUCGUCCCUAGGUUCGCCAGCACAUCAUGGGUAGGGAA